Molecule: ribosomal RNA, 797 nt
Filed under: uncultured bacterium
Lineage: Bacteria
Description: bacterial SSU rRNA
Rfam family: Bacterial small subunit ribosomal RNA
Source: RNAcentral
AGAGUUUGAUCAUGGCUCAGAUUGAACGCUGGCGGAAUGCUUUACACAUGCAAGUCGAACGGCAGCACGGGAGCUUGCUCCUGGUGGCGAGUGGCGAACGGGUGAGUAAUGCGUCGGAACGUACCGAGUAAUGGGGGAUAACGCAGCGAAAGCUGUGCUAAUACCGCAUAUGCCCUGAGGGGGAAAGGAGGGGAUCCGCAAGGACCUUUCGCUUUCGGAGUGGCCGAUAUCGGAUUAGCUAGUUGGUGAGGUAAAGGCUCACCAAGGCGACGAUCCGUAGCUGGUCUGAGAGGACGACCAGCCACACUGGAACUGAGACACGGUCCAGACUCCUACGGGAGGCAGCAGUGGGGAAUUUUGGACAAUGGGGGAAACCCUGAUCCAGCCAUGCCGCGUGAGUGAAGAAGGCCUUCGGGUUGUAAAGCUCUUUCAGACGGAAAGAAACGGUCACGGCUAAUACCCGUGACUAAUGACGGUACCGUCAGAAGAAGCACCGGCUAACUACGUGCCAGCAGCCGCGGUAAUACGUGGGGUGCGAGCGUUAAUCGGAAUUACUGGGCGUAAAGCGUGCGCAGGCGGUUUUGUAAGACAGAUGUGAAAUCCCCGGGCUUAACCUGGGAACUGCAUUUGUGACUGCAAGACUAGAGUACGGCAGAGGGGGGUAGAAUUCCACGUGUAGCAGUGAAAUGCGUAGAUAUGUGGAGGAAUACCGAUGGCGAAGGCAGCCCCCUGGGUCGAUACUGACGCUCAUGCACGAAAGCGUGGGGAGCAAACAGGAUUAGAUACCCUAGUAGUCC